This 495-nucleotide ribosomal RNA is filed under the name uncultured bacterium. RNAcentral's name for it is "bacterial SSU rRNA". It matches the Rfam family "Bacterial small subunit ribosomal RNA", at positions 348 to 835 of the family's 1533-position model. The record is from RNAcentral.
GCAGCAGUAGGGAAUUUUCGGCAAUGGGGGAAACCCUGACCGAGCAACGCCGCGUGAAGGAAGAAGGUUUUCGGAUUGUAAACUUCUGUUAUAAAGGAAGAACGGCGGCUACAGGAAAUGGUAGCCGAGUGACGGUACUUUAUUAGAAAGCCACGGCUAACUACGUGCCAGCAGCCGCGGUAAUACGUAGGUGGCAAGCGUUAUCCGGAAUUAUUGGGCGUAAAGAGGGAGCAGGCGGCAGCAAGGGUCUGUGGUGAAAGCCUGAAGCUUAACUUCAGUAAGCCAUAGAAACCAGGCAGCUAGAGUGCAGGAGAGGAUCGUGGAAUUCCAUGCGUAGCGGUGAAAUGCGUAGAUAUAUGGAGGAACACCACGUGGCGAAGGCGACGAUCUGGCCUGCAACUGACGCUCAGUCCCGAAAGCGUGGGGAGCAAAUAGGAUUAGAUACCCUAGUAGUCCACGCCGUAAACGAUGAGUACUAAGUGUUGGAUGUCAAAG